GGAAAUUUGGCAGCAAAUGUAUUUGCUUUCAAAUAUGACGCGGCUCAUACAAUAACAAAAGUGUCUCUGAUUUGGCAUUUUGUAGUUGGCAAUAUGAUACCUUACUGAUGCCUAGUCAAUGUUGCCGUGUGGUGCGGCGCUCCGCCAGCUGCUGCGCCGGGGUUAGCGGCGCUCAGCAGCUAUCAGCUGACACGGCGCGCCGUGCUCGAUCGCCGCGGCGCAUGUGCCGCUGCGCGACGCGCCGGGCGCCGACGGCCGUCGUCUGGCAGCAACAGCGCUGCCAGUGACUCGCUCUGCUGCUGCAGAAACUGGACAAGGAUCGUAGAAUCGUGGCGUUCCAUCCGUAAAAGUCGAUCCCAGGCGGCCUAGUCGGAGAACAGGCCUAGUCGCCGGGCUGUCAGCCACCGAAUAGCAACUGGCGCAUCGCAACUCGGAGCUGGCCGCCCCGCCGAGGCUGAGCACACCACACCCUGGAGGACCUGCGCGCGCGCCUCUCCGAGCUGGAGCAGGAGAGCGGGAGACGCGCGGCUGACCUGCGCCUGGAGCAGGGGCGCACGCGGCUGGUCGAACAGGCGCGCAGGUGCAGCGGCGACUCGAGAAACAGGCUGAGUGUGAGGUGUCCUCCAGUCAGCAGGCCGCCGCUCAGAUGUAGAUUCUCAGGCUCACUGCCAGACUGUGGGGCGGCGCGCGCCACGCCACUUCAGCACGAGCCUGUGAUCUUGUAAACUGUGAACACUGCCAGUUCGGAAUUAAAAGAGUAAAAUCAGUGAACGUUCACUUCGGCUUCAUCGACGAGAGCAGCCAUCCAUGCGCGGC
Amphibalanus amphitrite is the source of this 816-nucleotide long non-coding RNA. RefSeq lists it as uncharacterized. NCBI's taxonomy places the organism in Eukaryota, Metazoa, Arthropoda, Thecostraca, Balanomorpha, Balanidae. The record is from RefSeq and is a predicted model, not a curated record. The transcript has 2 exons.